This 253-nucleotide ribosomal RNA is filed under the name uncultured bacterium. Its description in RNAcentral is "partial 16S ribosomal RNA". It matches the Rfam family "Bacterial small subunit ribosomal RNA", at positions 524 to 776 of the family's 1533-position model. The record is from RNAcentral.
UACGGAGGGUGCAAGCGUUAAUCGGGAUUACUGGGCGUAAAGCGCACGCAGGCGGUUUGUUAAGUCAGAUGUGAAAGCCCCGUGCUUAACCUGGGAAGUGCAUCUGAAACUGGGAAGCUUGAGUCUCGUAGAGGGGGGUAGAAUUCCAAGUGUAGCGGUGAAAUGCGUAGAGAUCUGGAGGAAUACCGGUGGCGAAGGCGGCCCCCUGGACGAAGACUGACGCUCAGGUGCGAAAGCGUGGGGAGCAAACAGG